RNAcentral lists this ribosomal RNA (739 nucleotides) under uncultured organism. RNAcentral's name for it is "bacterial SSU rRNA". It matches the Rfam family "Bacterial small subunit ribosomal RNA", at positions 152 to 873 of the family's 1533-position model. The record is from RNAcentral.
CGAAAGUGCUGAUAAUACCUGAUAACAUCCAGGAGUCGCAUGGCUCUUGGAUCAAAGAUGGGGACCUUCGGGCCUGUCGGUGAAAGAUCAGCCCAUGUCCUAUCAGCUUGUUGGUGGGGUAAUGGCCUACCAAGGCGACGACGGGUAGCCGGCGUGAGAGCGUGAUCGGCCACAUCGGGACUGAGACACUGCCCGGACACCUACGGGUGGCUGCAGCAACGAAUAUUCCGCAAUGGACGAAAGUCUGACGGAGCGACGCCGCGUGGGGGAUGAAGUCCUUCGGGAUGUAAACUCCAAUAGUUUGUCAGGAAGUGAACGAGGCUAAUACCCUCGUGAGUUGACCAGCAUACGAAAGGGGCGGCUAAUUCCGUGCCAGCAGCCGCGGUAAUACGGAAGCCCCAAGCGUUGUUCGGAAUCACUGGGCUUAAAGAGCGUGUAGGCGGGAUGGUAAGUACUUUGUGAAAGCCCCGGCUUCAAUCCGGGAAUUGCUUGGUAUACUGCUAUCCUUGAGGCAGGUAGGGGUGACUGGAACCUUAGGUGGAGCGGUGAAAUGCGUAGAUAUCUAAGGGAACACCUGUGGCGAAAGCGGGUCACUAGGCCUGUCCUGACGCUGAGACGCGAAAGCGUAGGGAGCGAACGGGAUUAGAUACCCCGGUAGUCUACGCCGUAAACGAUGCGCACUAGGUUCGAGAACCUCUGACGGUUUUCGUGCCGAAACAAAAGCGAUAAGUGCGCCGCC